GCUUUUACAAGAGGUACAGUGUGUCUUCAGUGUGCAGAAGUGGACAGAGAUCAAAACCAUUGUUCUCGACAUCAAUUUGGGUGUUUGUAUGUGUGUGUUCAGGGUUUUCCCUGGCAGUCAUCCUUCCCACAACCACGUGGUUCCAGAGGACAAGCAGACACAGCAAGACCCCCUCCAGAAACUGCAGAAAUGGGAGCAACUGGAUUUGGGAAAAGGGAGCGUCAGAACAUAGACCCCGGAAAGCACUAACCACACAUUCUCUCUCCUGGAAUGGCUCCCAGCUAGUAGCAUGAUGCAGUUUAUUUUCAGUUGGCAUGGUGUGAACUAUUGUUUCUUUUCCUACUGUGUAUAUAUAUAUAGCUACCACUGAUGAAAAUGUUGUUUAUAUACUUAAGUUUUAUAAUCCUGUUUGUGAAACACUGUUCUGGCAAAUUACGAGUAUAUACAUUUAUUAUUUUACCUUUAUAUAAUUCUAUGCAGGAAUUGAAGUCAGUUAUUUAAUGGAUAGUAUGAUUGAACGUUAUUCUUAUGACAAUCUACCUAUAGAGUUAGAUCUCCACCACUUAAUUGAAUAAUAGCCACCUGAAAACAUCAUAUUUAGUGAUUCCCUGACACGUGUUGGUAUUGAUUGAGACUGACAAAAACAUUUGUAUGUGCAAUUAGAGAAAAUAUGUAUCUAAAAAUUGUAACUCUAUAGGGGAAUUGUCUUGAAAAUAGCUAACCGUAGAAUGUGACCGUACUGAUUCACGAUUCCUUCACUGGCCGUGAUUGAGAUUGAGUCACAUAUUGUUGAACGUCUGCGUGUGUCACCAUAGGCUGGCGUUACUCUCUGACUGGUCAUCUGCCCUACUGUUUAUUGAAGCCAUAUACAACACCUGUUAACCUUUUCAUCUAUUAGAUUAUAUUCUGGGAACACUUUAAUAAGCGCUUCACGUGGCUUGUUGAUCUUUCAGAUAUAUGAUUGAAAUUGAAAUGAUAAUUGAUCAUGGAGGGCUUUCAUCUGGACGACAGAAAUAUCACGGUAGUUUUGCUUAAUAUAUUUUAAGAUACAGUGUUCAAAAACAUUAUUCCCGAUGUGCAAAUGGAAGUGAUAAGUUAUUUAUAUCUAUUGUUUUGACAGCUGAGUGUGGUUUAUUGUCUUAAGUAAUGUUGUCUUUAGUGUAUUGUUUUGUGUCUCCCUUUACAUAUUGUAGCUACUGGAAGACUGUAGGAUGUGAGUUUGUGUGUUUGUGCAUAUGCAUAAUCACAGGAAGUGGGCCAGAAUAAAUAAGUUAAUGCAUCACAUUAGUGCAACCCACUUUCAUUGGUCUCGUUUUUGAUUUGGGCUGAGCAUGAGGAGGAAAUAACCAAAUCACCAAAUGUCUAAUUACAAUGGGUCCAGUGUUGCACUUAAAAACAUUGUAAUAUGUUUGGAACAGGGUAAGAAUCAUAUCCUUUCUGCUUUUACGGUCAUCCGCCAUCAUGAAGGCUGUUUUCCCGCAUAUGUGCAAUGUCUCCAACCUUACUGACCAAUGCUUUGAACCAAACGCAAAAAGGUUUCUAUGCUCACAAAAUAUUCCCAAAGGCGAGCAACUUUCAAAUGGUGUGAUACAUGUCAUGUAAAUGUAAAAAAA
This is a long non-coding RNA of Sinocyclocheilus grahami, 1613 nucleotides long. RefSeq lists it as uncharacterized. NCBI's taxonomy places the organism in Eukaryota, Metazoa, Chordata, Actinopteri, Cypriniformes, Cyprinidae. The record is from RefSeq and is a predicted model, not a curated record. The transcript is spliced from 2 exons.